RNAcentral lists this non-coding RNA (26 nucleotides) under Cricetulus griseus (Chinese hamster). The record is from RNAcentral. Lineage: Eukaryota; Metazoa; Chordata; Mammalia; Rodentia; Cricetidae.
CUCUGCUUUGUGUUAUAAAUGGAGGA